This 252-nucleotide unclassified non-coding RNA is filed under the name uncultured fungus. Its description in RNAcentral is "partial contains 5.8S ribosomal RNA, internal transcribed spacer 2, and large subunit ribosomal RNA". The record is from RNAcentral. Lineage: Eukaryota; Fungi.
AACGCACAUUGCGCCCCUUGGUAUUCCAUGGGGCAUGCCUGUUCGAGCGUCAUUUGUACCCUCAAGCCAUGCUUGGUGUUGGGUGUUUGUCCUUGCCUUUUGCGCCGGGACUCGCCUUAAAAUAAUUGGCAGCCAGUGUUCUGGUAGAAAGCGCAGCACAAUUUGCGAUUUUCUAUCUAGCAGCAUUUGCAACCAGCAAGUACAUUUAACACUUUUGACCUCGGAUCAGGUAGGGAUACCCGCUGAACUUAA